RNAcentral lists this ribosomal RNA (102 nucleotides) under Sus scrofa (pig). The record is from RNAcentral. Lineage: Eukaryota; Metazoa; Chordata; Mammalia; Artiodactyla; Suidae.
CAUACCACCCUGAACACCCUCAUUUCGAUCUCAUCUGAGCUUGGAGGUGAAGAGGGUCGGCCCUGGUUAGUACUUGCACGGGAAACCAAGGAUGUGGUAUUA